CCUACGGGAGGCAGCAGUGGGGAAUAUUGGGCAAUGGGCGCAAGCCUGACCCAGCAACGCCGCGUGAAGGAAGAAGGCUUUCGGGUUGUAAACUUCUUUUCUCAGGGACGAAGCAAGUGACGGUACCGGAGGAAUAAGCCACGGCUAACUACGUGCAAGCACCCGCGGUAAUACGUAGGUGGCAAGCGUUAUCCGGAUUUACUGGGUGUAAAGGGCGUGUAGGCGGGACUGCAAGUCAGAUGUGAAAUCAACGGGCUCAACCUGUGGACUGCAUUUGAAACUGGAGUUCUUGAGUACUGGAGAGGCAGACGGAAUGCGUAGUGUAGCGGUGAAAUGCGUAGAUAUUAGGAGGAACACCAGUGGCGAAGGCGGUCUGCUGGACAGCAACUGACGCUGAGGCGCGAAAGCGUGGGGAGCAAACAGGAUUAGAUACCCCAGUAGUC
Molecule: ribosomal RNA, 443 nt
Filed under: uncultured bacterium
Lineage: Bacteria
Description: partial 16S ribosomal RNA
Rfam family: Bacterial small subunit ribosomal RNA
Source: RNAcentral